RNAcentral lists this ribosomal RNA (253 nucleotides) under uncultured bacterium. RNAcentral describes it as "partial 16S ribosomal RNA". It matches the Rfam family "Bacterial small subunit ribosomal RNA", at positions 524 to 776 of the family's 1533-position model. The record is from RNAcentral.
UACGAAGGGGGCUAGCGUUGUUCGGAGUUACUGGGCGUAAAGGGCGCGUAGGCGGCGCAUCAAGUCAGGCGUGAAAGCCCUGGGCUCAACCCGGGAAUUGCGCUUGAGACUGGUGUGCUUGAGUACGGGAGAGGAUAGUGGAAUUCCCAGUGUAGAGGUGAAAUUCGUAGAUAUUGGGAGGAACACCAGUGGCGAAGGCGGCUAUCUGGACCGUAACUGACGCUGAGGCGCGAAAGCGUGGGGAGCAAACAGG